Molecule: ribosomal RNA, 261 nt
Filed under: uncultured Bacillus sp.
Lineage: Bacteria; Bacillati; Bacillota; Bacilli; Caryophanales; Bacillaceae
Description: partial 16S ribosomal RNA
Rfam family: Bacterial small subunit ribosomal RNA
Source: RNAcentral
GCUAACGCGUGAAGGCGAGCACUCUAGACGAACUGCCGUUGACAAACGGAGGAGUGGGAUGACGUCAAAUCAUCAUGCCCUUAUGUUCUGGGCUACACACGUGCUACAAUGGCCGGUACAGACGGACGCAAAGCCGCGAGGUGGAGCAAAUCCUAAAAAGCCGGUCUCAGUUCGGAUUGCAGGCUGCAAUUCGCCUGCAUGAAGUCGGAAUCGCUAGUAAUCGCAGGUCAGCAUACUGCGGUGAAUACGUUCCCGGGCCUU